AUUGAACGCUGGCGGAAUGCUUUACACAUGCAAGUCGAGCGGCAGCGCGGGGCAACCUGGCGGCGAGCGGCGAACGGGUGAGUAAUGCAUCGGAACGUACCCAGUCGUGGGGGAUAACUGUCCGAAAGGACAGCUAAUACCGCAUACGUCCUGAGGGAGAAAGCGGGGGAGUCGCAAGACCUCGCGCGAUUGGAGCGGCCGAUGCCGGAUUAGCUAGUUGGUAGGGUAAAGGCCUACCAAGGCGACGAUCCGUAGCUGGUCUGAGAGGACGACCAGCCACACUGGAACUGAGACACGGUCCAGACUCCUACGGGAGGCAGCAGUGGGGAAUUUUGGACAAUGGGGGCAACCCUGAUCCAGCCAUUCCGCGUGAGUGAAGAAGGCCU
This 386-nucleotide ribosomal RNA is filed under the name uncultured bacterium. RNAcentral's name for it is "bacterial SSU rRNA". It matches the Rfam family "Bacterial small subunit ribosomal RNA", at positions 29 to 417 of the family's 1533-position model. The record is from RNAcentral.